This is a transfer RNA of Colletotrichum fioriniae PJ7, 105 nucleotides long. It matches the Rfam family "tRNA". From Rfam's summary of the family: Transfer RNA (tRNA) molecules are approximately 80 nucleotides in length. Their secondary structure includes four short double-helical elements and three loops (D, anti-codon, and T loops). Further hydrogen bonds mediate the characteristic L-shaped molecular structure. tRNAs have two regions of fundamental functional importance: the anti-codon, which is responsible for specific mRNA codon recognition, and the 3' end, to which the tRNAs corresponding amino acid is attached (by aminoacyl-tRNA synthetases). tRNAs cope with the degeneracy of the genetic code in two manners: having more than one tRNA (with a specific anti-codon) for a particular amino acid; and 'wobble' base-pairing, i.e. permitting non-standard base-pairing at the 3rd anti-codon position. The record is from Rfam. Lineage: Eukaryota; Fungi; Ascomycota; Sordariomycetes; Glomerellales; Glomerellaceae.
GCGGACAUAGCUCAGUUGGGAGAGCGUCAGACUGAAGUGGAAUUCAUUCCUGAAAACUUCAUUCAAAUUAUCUGAAGGUCGUGUGUUCAAUCCACACUGGCCGCA